AGUAGCAUAGCCUAGUGGAUAGAGCAUAGGCUUAGAAAUCAAAAGACCUGGGUUCUAAUCCCAGUUCUGCCA
Molecule: transfer RNA, 72 nt
Filed under: Ornithorhynchus anatinus (platypus)
Lineage: Eukaryota; Metazoa; Chordata; Mammalia; Monotremata; Ornithorhynchidae
Rfam family: tRNA
About the family: Transfer RNA (tRNA) molecules are approximately 80 nucleotides in length. Their secondary structure includes four short double-helical elements and three loops (D, anti-codon, and T loops).
Source: Rfam by way of RNAcentral